RNAcentral lists this ribosomal RNA (245 nucleotides) under uncultured bacterium. RNAcentral's name for it is "partial 16S ribosomal RNA". It matches the Rfam family "Bacterial small subunit ribosomal RNA", at positions 524 to 770 of the family's 1533-position model. The record is from RNAcentral.
UACGUAGGUGGCGAGCGUUACUCGGAAUUACUAGGCGUAAAGCACGAGUAGGUGGUCAAAUAAGUUGGUAGUGAAAGCUUCGUCAAAAGCGAAGAGGUCUACCAAAACUGCUUGACUUGAGUGUAGGAAGGGGAGCCGGAACUCCUGGUGUAGCGGUGAAAUGCGUAGAUAUCAGGAGGAACACCUAUGGCGAAAGCGGGUUCCUGGCCUACUACUGACACUGAGUUGUGAUAGCGCGGGGAGCA